This 1243-nucleotide ribosomal RNA is filed under the name metagenome. RNAcentral's name for it is "bacterial LSU rRNA". It matches the Rfam family "Bacterial large subunit ribosomal RNA", at positions 1564 to 2816 of the family's 2925-position model. The record is from RNAcentral.
UGAAUACGAGACGCUAAGGCGUCGAAGUAGUGUAUGUCAUACUUCCAAGAAAAGCUUGCACUGUCAUAGAUAAAAAACGCCUGUACCAUAACCGACACAGGUGGGUAGGUAGAGUAUACUAAGGGGCGCGAGAUAACUCUCUCUAAGGAACUCGGCAAAAUAACUCCGUAACUUCGGGAGAAGGAGUGCCUUAUUAUUAAGGCUGCAAUAACAAGAUCCAAGCAACUGUUUAUCAAAAACACAGGUCUCCGCUAAGUCGUAAGACGAUGUAUGGGGGCUGACGCCUGCCCAGUGCCAGAAGGUUAAAGAAGUUGGUUAGCAUUUGCGAAGCUGAUAACUGAAGCCCUGGUGAACGGCGGCCGUAACGAUAACGGUCCUAUGGUAGCGAAAUUCCUUGUCGGGUAAGUUCCGACCCGCACGAAAGGCGUAAUGAUUUGGAUACUGUCUCGGAGAGGGGCUCGGUGAAAUAGACUUGUCUGUGAAGAUGCGGACUACCUGCACCAGGACAGAAAGACCCUAUGAAGCUUUACUGUAACUUGAAAUUGAAAUUGGACUUUAUUCGCGCAGCAUAGGUGGGAGGCGUUGAUUAUAAUCUUGUGGGAUUAUUGGAGCCAUCAGUGAGAUACCACUCUUGUAAUGUUAGAUUUCUAACUUUGAAUCAUUAUCUGGUCAAAGAACAGUUUCAGGCGGGCAGUUUGACUGGGGCGGUCGCCUCCUAAACGGUAACGGAGGCGUACAAAGGUUUCCUCUGAACGGUUAGAAAUCGUAUCUAGAGUGUAAAGGCAUAAGGAAGCUUGACUGUGAGACCUACAAGUCGAGCAGGGACGAAAGUCGGUCUUAGUGAUCUGACGGUACUGAGUGGAAAGGCCGUCACUCAACGGAUAAAAGUUACUCUAAGGAUAACAGGCUGAUCUCCCCCAAGAGUUCACAUCGACGGGGAGGUUUGGCACCUCGAUGUCGGCCCAUCGCAUCCUGGGGCGGUAGUACGUCCCAAGGGUUGGGCUGUUCGCCCAUGAAAGCGGUACGCGAGCUGGGUUCAGAACGUCGUGAGACAGUUCGGUCCAUAUCCGGUGUAGGCGUUAGAAUAUUGAGAGGAGCCUUCUUUAGUACGAGAGGACCGAGAAGGACAUACCUCUGGUGUACCAGUUAUCGUGCCAACGGUAAACGCUGGGUAGCUAUGUAUGGAGUGGAUAACCGCUGAAAGCAUCUAAGUGGGAAGCCCACCUCAAGAUAAGUAUUCUCA